This 505-nucleotide ribosomal RNA is filed under the name uncultured bacterium. Its description in RNAcentral is "bacterial SSU rRNA". It matches the Rfam family "Bacterial small subunit ribosomal RNA", at positions 791 to 1300 of the family's 1533-position model. The record is from RNAcentral.
UAGUCCACGCCGUAAACGAUGGUCACUAGUUGUUGGGGUCUUGUACCUCAGUGAUUAAGAGAAAUUGAUAAGUGACCCACCUGGGGAGUACGAUCGCAAGAUUGAAACUCAAAGGAAUUGACGGGGGCCCGCACAAGCGGUGGAGCAUGUGGUUUAAUUCGAUGAUACGCGAGGAACCUUACCAGGGCUUAAAUGUAAGUUGCAUGAUUUAGAGAUAGAUCUUUCUUCGGACUACUUACAAGGUGUUGCAUGGUUGUCGUCAGCUCGUGCCGUGAGGUGUCAGGUUAAGUCCUAUAACGAGCGCAACCCCUACCGUUAGUUGCCAGCAUGUUGUGAUGGGGACUCUAGCGGGACUGCCGGUGCAAACCGAGAGGAAGGUGGGGAUGACGUCAAAUCAUCACGGCCCUUACGUCCUGGGCUACACACGUGCUACAAUGGCGCAUACAGAGGGUAGCUACCUGGCAACAGGAUGCCAAUCUCAAAAAGUGCGUCUCAGUUCGGAGUU